GACGAACGCUGGCGGCGUGCCUAAUACAUGCAAGUAGAACGCUGAAGAGAGGAGCUUGCUCUUCUUGGAUGAGUUGCGAACGGGUGAGUAACGCGUAGGUAACCUGCCUUGUAGCGGGGGAUAACUAUUGGAAACGAUAGCUAAUACCGCAUAACAAUGGAUGACACAUGUCAUUUAUUUGAAAGGGGCAAUUGCUCCACUACAAGAUGGACCUGCGUUGUAUUAGCUAGUAGGUGAGGUAAUGGCUCACCUAGGCGACGAUACAUAGCCGACCUGAGAGGGUGAUCGGCCACACCGGGAAUGGGACACGGCCCAGGCUCCUACGGGGGGCAGCAGUAGGGAAUCUUCGGCAAUGGGGGCAACCCUGACCGAGCAACGCCGCGUGAGUGAAGAAGGUUUUCGGAUCGUAAAGCUCUGUUGUAAGUCAAGAACGGGUGUGAGAGUGGAAAGUUCACACUGUGACGGUAGCUUACCAGAAAGGGACGGCUAACUACGUG
This 497-nucleotide ribosomal RNA is filed under the name uncultured bacterium. RNAcentral describes it as "partial 16S ribosomal RNA". It matches the Rfam family "Bacterial small subunit ribosomal RNA", at positions 28 to 507 of the family's 1533-position model. The record is from RNAcentral.